UUUCCGUAGGUGAACCUGCGGAAGGAUCAUUAGCGAACGCACUCACGGGCUUGUAACUCUUCCACACUUCUGUGAACAGCGCCUUGUGGCGCUAUUUUGCAAACUAGGUGUAAUGACCGUCUGAUAACAUAACAAAACAAAACUUUAAACAACGGAUCUCUUGGCUCUC
Molecule: unclassified non-coding RNA, 169 nt
Filed under: plant metagenome
Description: partial contains small subunit ribosomal RNA, internal transcribed spacer 1, and 5.8S ribosomal RNA
Source: RNAcentral